This 902-nucleotide ribosomal RNA is filed under the name uncultured bacterium. RNAcentral's name for it is "bacterial SSU rRNA". It matches the Rfam family "Bacterial small subunit ribosomal RNA", at positions 27 to 919 of the family's 1533-position model. The record is from RNAcentral.
GGAUGAACGCUAGCUACAGGCUUAACACAUGCAAGUCGAGGGGAAACGACAUCGAAAGCUUGCUUUUGAUGGGCGUCGACCGGCGCACGGGUGAGUAACGCGUAUCCAACCUGCCCACCACUUGGGGAUAACCUUGCGAAAGUAAGACUAAUACCCAAUGACGUCUCUAGAAGACAUCUGAAGGAGAUUAAAGAUUUAUCGGUGAUGGAUGGGGAUGCGUCUGAUUAGCUUGUUGGCGGGGUAACGGCCCACCAAGGCGACGAUCAGUAGGGGUUCUGAGAGGAAGGUCCCCCACAUUGGAACUGAGACACGGUCCAAACUCCUACGGGAGGCAGCAGUGAGGAAUAUUGGUCAAUGGGCGAGAGCCUGAACCAGCCAAGUAGCGUGCAGGAUGACGGCCCUAUGGGUUGUAAACUGCUUUUAUAAGGGAAUAAAGUGAGUCUCGUGAGACUUUUUGCAUGUACCUUAUGAAUAAGGACCGGCUAAUUCCGUGCCAGCAGCCGCGGUAAUACGGAAGGUCCGGGCGUUAUCCGGAUUUAUUGGGUUUAAAGGGAGCGUAGGCCGGAGAUUAAGCGUGUUGUGAAAUGUAGACGCUCAACGUCUGCACUGCAGCGCGAACUGGUUUCCUUGAGUACGCACAAAGUGGGCGGAAUUCGUGGUGUAGCGGUGAAAUGCUUAGAUAUCACGAAGAACUCCGAUUGCGAAGGCAGCUCACUGGAGCGCAACUGACGCUGAAGCUCGAAAGUGCGGGUAUCGAACAGGAUUAGAUACCCUGGUAGUCCGCACGGUAAACGAUGGAUGCCCGCUGUUGGUCUGAAUAGGUCAGCGGCCAAGCGAAAGCAUUAAGCAUCCCACCUGGGGAGUACGCCGGCAACGGUGAAACUCAAAGGAAUUGACGGAAG